CUGCUGCCUUCCGUAGGAGUCUGGGCCGUGUCUCAGUCCCAGUGUGGGGGGCCUUCCUCUCAGAACCCCUACGCAUCGUCGCCACGGUGGGCCGUCACCCCGCCGUCUAGCUAAUGCGCCGCAUGCCCAUCCGCACCGGAUCGCUCCUUUGGCCACCGGAGGAUGCCCUCCGGUGGCGUCACGGGGUAUUAGGCCGCGUUUCCGCGGGUUAUCCCCCUGUGGCGGCCAGGUUGCAUACGUGUUACUCACCCGUGCGCCGGUCGCCGG
This 267-nucleotide ribosomal RNA is filed under the name uncultured bacterium. RNAcentral describes it as "partial 16S ribosomal RNA". The record is from RNAcentral.